UUGGAAUUCAAGAGAUUUUAGGCAGAUUGGGAAUUGCUUCUGGAUUUUUUUCAUCUGGAAAAAUUGCUCACUUGUACCUCCUUUUCCUGAGGUACCAUGUUUGCCUGUCACCGUCGUUCUGAAUUUGUCAUGUUGCUAAAUCAAAAUGGCCUCCUGAGGUUUUCCACUAGGGGCCUUGCUUCAGAAUAUUUACCCAGUGUUUAGCUCAUAAACACACUAGUGUGCUGAGCCCUCACAGACAGUGAACGGAGACCCAUGGGUCACUUCCUUCCCUCACCUCUGACACACACUCCAUAGUGCUUGAUUUUGUUCAGAAAGAUGGGGUUGGUGUCUUCAGUUUAAAAUCCAGUUCACAAAAAAGUCACUGCAGAUUGAGUAACAGGUUAGAUCUUAAUCUACAGUGUUCGGUGCUUGUUGAAGUAGGACAUCUGUCAACAAGCAAGUGCUUGCCCAGUGCACUAGCUUUAAAGGCAGCCUUCCUCAUGGGUGCUGAUAGCCCCACUUGUCACUGCAGGCUAGACAUUGUGCUAGGUACCUUGUCCCUCUGUUCCUUCAUAUUUUGUGGUGCUAAGGUUCAAACCCAGAGCCUAUGUGUGAGGCAAGUCGCCAUCAUUGAGCUACACCCCCAGCCCAUGUAUACAUUUUUUGUUGUUGUUGUUGUUUUGGUACCGGAGAUUGAACUCAGAGGCACUUGACCACUGAGCCACAUCCCCAGCCCUAUUUUGUAUUUUAUUUAGAGACAGGGUCUCAUUGAGUUGCUUAGUGCCUCAGCGCCC
RNAcentral lists this long non-coding RNA (776 nucleotides) under Marmota monax (woodchuck). The record is from RNAcentral. Lineage: Eukaryota; Metazoa; Chordata; Mammalia; Rodentia; Sciuridae.